AUACAGUUUUACAGACCUCGUGUGGGACUCCAGCUGCUCAGGAGCUUUCUUGCCAAUUACUUUAUUGGUUACUAAUAAAUUGUUAUUCAGUAUUGUUUGGUCACUCAAACUCUCAGUGUGUAUGUGCAGGGACAGUUGUUUGUGAGAGUUUUCAUGUUUUUAUCUAAGGGUGUAAAACCAAUUUAUACAGGUGCAAGUUAUUUUUUUACCCAGGAAUAGAGUGUUAUGCUAAUGAACUGCUCACACCAGGAUCGCUUCCACACGGGAAUUCCAGGCUUGAUUUUAUGAAGCCUUUCUUUAUGAUUUUCCUACCUCACUGCAAUACAGGAUUUCCCUGGAAGCAGCACUAACAUUGCUGUUGGAGCCUCCUGAAACAGCUCCUGUUUUCCCAAAGCCUUGCCUCGGGAAUUCAGUGCCAGGUGGGGCCUUGCAGCACUGUCCCCUUGUGUCCCCGUCCUCCUUCCCCUGCAGAGCUGGAGCUGAGCAGGAUGGAGGGGCUGCAGGAAAUGUUCCCCCCUGCACAAGCAGGGAUGCUGAACAUCCCUGGAGUGACCAUGGCUUUUCCAAGGAUUUUCCAGUCCCCAGGCCUCCAUUUGGCUGUCACUUCAGCUGGUGUUUUAAUGAUAAAAAAGGGAAUUGCCGAGGAUAGGAGGGGAUUUGGUUUCCCUGGGCAGGGGGCAGAGGCCACGCUUUGGCUUUUCCGCUUUUCCAGUGGGUGUUCCUCUCCUUUUCCAUAUCCCAGGAUUCUGCUUCAUGGGAGCACAGCUGUGGGAAGGGCUGGGUGUGGAGCUGGGAGAGGCUUGGGAAAGAUGUGGGGCUGGAGAGGUGAGUAAGGGAGGGAGAGAGAACCUAAAGGGGCUCCAGGAGAGCUGGAGAGGGGCUGGGGACAAGGGAUGGAGGGACAGGACACAGGGAAUGGCUCCCACUGCCAGAGGGCAGGGAUGGGUGGGAGAUUGGGAAUUGGGAAUUCCUGGCUGGGCUGGAAUUGCCAGAGCAGCUGUGGCUGCCCCUGGAUCCCUGGCAGUGCCCAAGGCCAGGUUGGACACCCUGGGACAGUGGGAGGUGUCCCUGCUGUGGCACAGGGUUAGAAUAGGAUGGUUUUUAAGGUCCCUUCCAACCCAAACCAGUCUGGAAUUCCACCUGUGAAAAUCAGGCUCUGAGGGUUUCCACCAACCCUGGAGAUUCCAGGACUCCUUCUCCAGAGCUCCUGUGGAUGUUCUCGUGCUCAGGGAAUGGAGGUGUUUUCCAGAGGAUGGAACAUUCCAGAGGAUGGAUGUGUUGGAGAGAACGUGUCACAGAACAGCUAGGACAGCCUAAAUCAAAAUGGAAAUUGUAAAUUAAUCUUGGUGCCAGUCCUAUGGAAUUGGCUGGGUUAGGUCCUGGAUUUGGAUUUAUGGGAUGGUCAGGGUUGGAAGGACCCUUAAAGAUCAUCCAAUUCCAGCCUCCACUUCCAGGAGCCUGAAUUUAAGGAAAUCUUCCCCUGGGAUAUUCUUCAGCUUCUCCACUUUUGACUGAGGAUCCCAAAAAUAGGAAGGAAACCAAGAGAUGGGCAAAUCCUUGUGGAUUUAUAGGAAAAGGUGCAGAAACCAUGGAGAUGUGGGAGCCUGGGAAUGCUGAAGUGCUGCUGAAGUUCCUUUUGUUCUGUAAUGACAGAGGACUCUGCCAGGCUGGGCUCUGCUGCGAGCCUCACUCAGUAAUUAAAAAUCAAUUAGCAUGUU
Molecule: long non-coding RNA, 1718 nt
Filed under: Taeniopygia guttata (zebra finch)
Lineage: Eukaryota; Metazoa; Chordata; Aves; Passeriformes; Estrildidae
Description: lncRNA (ENSTGUG00000028893.1)
Source: RNAcentral